UUCCUGUUUUGAUAGUGGUUUCUACAGCUAUCUGUGUAUACUUAUACUUGUUCAAAAAUCAUGGAUUAAAAAGAACUAAUAAAGAACCUAGCUCAAGGCCAAACAUAAAUGUUAAUUCUACGUGUUAUAACAACCAUGGUGCGAACGAAUAUGACCAAGUGCGUUAUUCCCUUAUGCAAGACACUAGAUUUUAAUUAUCAUUUUUAUAAACUUUAGAAAAUACUUUUUUCAUAA
This is a long non-coding RNA of Saccostrea echinata, 234 nucleotides long. RefSeq lists it as uncharacterized. The record is from RefSeq and is a predicted model, not a curated record. The transcript has 3 exons. Lineage: Eukaryota; Metazoa; Mollusca; Bivalvia; Ostreida; Ostreidae.